RNAcentral lists this ribosomal RNA (468 nucleotides) under uncultured bacterium. Its description in RNAcentral is "partial 16S ribosomal RNA". It matches the Rfam family "Bacterial small subunit ribosomal RNA", at positions 28 to 507 of the family's 1533-position model. The record is from RNAcentral.
GACGAACGCUGGCGGCGUGCUUAACACAUGCAAGUCGAACGGAAAGGCCCUGCUUUUGUUGGGUGCUCGAUUGGCGAACGGGUGAGUAACACGUGUGUAACCUGCCCUUGACUUUGGGAUAACUUCAGGAAACUUGGGCUAAUACCUGAUAGGAUCUCCUGCUGCAUGGUGGGGGUUGGUAAGUUUCGGCGGUUGGGGAUGGACUCGCGGCUUAUCAGCUUGUUGGUGGGGUAGUGGCUUACCAAGGCUUUGACGGGUAGCCGGCCUGAGAGGGUUACCGGCAACAAUGGGACUGAGAGACGGACCAGACGCCUACGGGAGGCAGCAGUGGGGAAUAUUGCACAAUGGGAGGAAGCCUGAUGAAGAAACGCCGCGUGCGGGAUGAAGGCCUUCGGGUUGUAAACCGAAUUCGCCUGUGACGAAGCGUGAGUGACGGUAAUGGGUAAAGAAGCACCGGCUAACUACGUG